Molecule: long non-coding RNA, 9070 nt
Organism: Apis cerana (Asiatic honeybee)
Lineage: Eukaryota; Metazoa; Arthropoda; Insecta; Hymenoptera; Apidae
Source: RefSeq, a predicted model, not a curated record
UUUCUACCAAUAGGCAUUCGUAUUUUUAUGAUUUUAUUCGAUGUAUAUAUCAGAAAUAACCAAUCAAACAACCGCAUUUCUUAUUGAGGGCUUCUCCCCAGCAACGUAUAGUACUCUAGGGAGCUGAGAAGAUGGCAGUAGGAACGGCAUAGAAGGAAGGGAAGCGAUUUUAUUCGAUCUUAUUUUCGGCCAAUAAACGUUCCCAUUUUUAUGAUCAUAUUCGAUCUAUCAGAAAUAUCCAAUCAGAUUUCUCGUUUUUUAUAAAGGAAUCUCUGAGCAACACAUAAUAUGUACAGGUUAUUUGAUCAAAAAUUUUCAAUCAGAAAACGAAUACGUUUCGAUUAUAACCUAUAAUAUUCGAUGUGAAUCGAUUUGAAUGAUCAAAUAUACAUUGAAUCCAACUUAAUACGGAGUGUCUUGUAUUGAAUGACUAUCAAAAAAUAUCGAAAGACAGUGGAAGGAUGACAGAAACUUACUGUGUACGUCGAUAGUGUGGUGAUAGUAAUGGCAGAGAAUAUAACGUCGAGAUUGAGGAGGUCGGCGCCGAAUAGGAGAAGGGAAAGGGUGAAGCGGAAAAGGGAGAGAAAGGAUUGGCACGGGUAAGAGGGGUCGGAUAGGGAGGAAAGGACGCGUAGAGGUCAGGGGGAGCAAAGAGGAGUAUCAGGUGGUGGGUGGUGAGAGAAGUAGCGAGAGUAGCGAGGAAGCGAGGGAUGGUUGGCGAGGAAAAUUGCAAGGCGGUACCGAUAAACUUACUCGCGCGUACUGACGCAAUGCGGUCUUUGGUUAGUGGUAAUAGCGAUUGUUAAUUACCGUGGAAAUACAACCAUCGAGAGACGACUUUGUCGUCGAGAUGAAUGGGAUGGGAGAAAAAAAACUCGCUUAUUAUUCCAACUAAUCAUUGAUCCAUUUGUUCUCUCUUUCAUCGAGAAUCACAGCAUACAUAUGGUCGCCGUUUCACGUUUCGUUGAAAGAGGACUCGGACAACAAUUUCUUGACCACCUCUUUGAUACUCGUUUAACUUUUAUUAUGUCUUCGAACGUGUGCGAGUUAUCUUGUGUCUUCUCUUACACAAUGGCACAAUAGUUAUUACAGAUAGAAAAACUGUCUCGUAAUUGCAACAUGACAACCACUUCUUUCGAUUCUUUUUCCUCUUCGCUUCCUCAUUUCUAUCGUUUGUUCGUGGUAGGUCAUUAUAAUUGCGAUAUAACUGCAUUGUUAAGAGAGAACGAUUCAAUUUAUUUAUUCACCAAGAGAUUUGUGCAAAUAGAAAAAUAAUAUUAUGUAAAGAGGAUAAAAAAUAAUUGAUUAAAUAAGAAAGCGAAGAAAUUUGAGAAAAACCGUUUUUCGAAAGUUUAUCCAAAGAGAAAUUUUUUUAACGGUAGAACAAAGACCAUUUUCCUUCCCCUUUCCCCAAUCUCUCCUCUUCACUUUUCUCUUCCUUCCUUAUUCGGUUUUUCAACGUUACGGCACAAAGUAUAGCAGCAGUUCGUCAUCAUCAGAUUCGUUAACGUUUGAUUCAUAAUUCAAGAUCAUAAUUGUUUGAAAGUUGCUGGAAUAAAAAUCACGAAUAUUCUCUUUUCUUUUUUUUCUUUCUCCCUUUCUCGUCGAAGAAUCAUUCCAAUGUCGUUGGUACAACUUUAUAAAUUUCAGAUUGUUCUCUUUUACCAAUGAAUUGUAAAUUUUAUGCUAUCGCGACAAAUUUGUAUCUCGUGUUAUCUUAUUUUAUUACUUUCCAUAAUAGUAAAUUUUCAUCGACCGUUUUUAUCUUCGCCACAGAGCUUCAAAUUUCGCUUGUAAAAUAAUCUUGUCUACUUUCUGCGGUUCAAAGAACGCCAAGCUGGUUUAGAUAUUCGAUAUUCCUUCCUUUUUUCAUGACUUAUACGACUAAUAUUAUGCACCUGCUUAUAGAUUCUGUUUUAGUUGAUUUCUCUAUAUAUUUGAGAUGUGAAAAAAUAUAAAGAUAAUCGUAUCACUUGGCAUAAAGCGUGCAUGUAUCUUAUUUAUAUAAAUUGAUAUAAAUUCAAUGAAAAAUGUUAGACCGAACUAUCUAAACAACUUUCACGGAUAACCAUUCUAGUGACCACGAUUAUCCACAAUCGUGUUUGAGAUCAAUAUUCCUGAAUUCGAACGUAUUUACACUAUUGUUCAUAAGUAUAUAAAACAUUCUUUGGUUGAUUUGUUAUAACAAUAAAUUUUGAAAUUUAAAUUUUAAUCAAAUAUAUAUAUAUAUAUAUAUAUAUUGAAUAUAUAAUGAAUUAAUAAGUAAUGAAUAAAAUUAAUAUUAAUUAUUAUUUAUUUAUAGUAUUUAUUCUCCUUCUCCUGAUAGACUGGAAAUUUAAAUGAUCUAUUAAAAUACUUCUCAUUAACGUAUUACUUGUAUAAAUUUAUUUUUUUUUUUGUAAAAUUAUUUUCUUUGUUAUAUCCUCUUUUAUUACAUAAUAUCAGAUAUAUUUAAUUACUUUUAAAAUAAUAAUAUUAUAAUUAAAAUAAUAUAUUGAUAGUUAAAAAAUUGUUUUCCAAAUAAUUUUAGUUUUGUUUAUUUAAUCUUCAAUUAUAGACGUCAUAUGACUAUAUUUUUAAGUAUACAUGCUUUUGGAUGUCACAAUGUUCUUGUAUUCCUAUUAAUUAAAUAUCGUUACAUUAAAAUUGAAUGAAAUUCUUUUAAUUGGAACACAAAGAGUGCAAAAGCAAUUCGAUAACUCGAAUCUACUCAUUAGCAGAGCUACGAGAAAGCAAUAGAGAAAAUUUUCUAAUCAGCUUUCGACCGAUGAAAUUGUCUUCGCAAACAGUAAAAUUACUCAAAGCUGAACGAGAUAUUAGGUAAACGUCGUGUCGCGUCGCUUUUUCCCCUUUUCCUCUUUUUUCCUCUUCUCUUUCAAUUGCUAGAAAUUCCAUGGAAAAAGUACCUCAAUUUACGAAGAGAGCUCGUUCCUGGAUUACCUUCCAAUUAGAAUUGUUUACAUACUAGGUGACAAUCAUUUCCUUUCCCAACAAUGAAAAAUUCAACUUGAUUGAUGUAAAUUCUCUUUCGUGUCAUUAACUUUUCUGAUUAAUGUUCUGCUUCAUUGUUUAAUCGUACAUUUUAUAUUUGAAUGGACACAACCGGAGAAAAAUUAUUUUGCCCUUUGAGUUCGUAUUCGAGAAGGAUACAAAUUAGUUGAACAAGAAGUUAUUAUUCUGAUUCUGACAGAUAUUCUCAUGCCCCUUGAACCGUUCGAAUUAAUGAGAUAGUCGAGAAUUCCGAUUCCAGAACCUUUCAGUUAUUUUCGAUUAACUUUGGUAAGAUUGCCCUUGGAGAUUUUCUUUUCUUAUCGGUCAAUCAGAUGGAAAAAAACCGAUCGAUUUGGCCAUAUUCGUUCGACUUAUCGAGAUGUAUUAGUCGAAAAUAAACGAAGAAAAAAGAAAGCACAGUAAAAAAGUAUAUUUUGAAUGAAAUUUUCAUUCGAAGUAACAAUCUUUGAAAUUACCCGAAGAAACGUAUGAUGAAAAGUCAAAAAAAGGGAAGAAGAGAUAAGUAGUGUGAUUAUCAGCGAGUUUCCUGCUUCCAACACAUCUUUCAUCUACUUCUUAGAGAAAGGAUAACGCGGUCUAAAUGAACCCGUACAGAAUCUAUAUUUAUGUAUCUAUGUAUCUUCGCCUUUGGUGAAAGCAAAGGAAAAGGAAGCAGAUGACGAAAAGGGAGGGGCUAUUGUUCGCAAAAACAUUGUUUCAUUUAAUUCAACGAAUCGAUGAGUAUCGAACGGCGCAGCCGUUUUCGGAUAUGGGUCAGUGGUCGAUACGCGUGUCCUGCGUCGCGCACCUAUCUACAUGUAUACGUAUAUAGUACAGCCAUAGAAUAUAUAGGAUAUAGAAGCGAACGUGGCAAUGCGCGCAAUAAUCGUAAAUGCGCAUGUACGUAUAUAUAUACAUACUUGUGACAUUGAUGAUCGGUUGGUAAGUUAUGUUACCUAAUUAUAUGUAUAUAUAUGUACAUUUAUAAAUUAUGCGUCACAAAGGAAACAAAGUACACGCGAUCACGAUUGUGUUAUAAUUAACGAUAAAAUUAUUUUUUAUCAUUCGAAUCGGAGAUGUGUUGCUUUACACGUAUCGUAACCGUAGAGAAACAUUUAAGAGACACAAGACCCAUUUAUCAAAGUGAACUCGAUACAAUUUUGUCACGAAUACCAGCACGAGUUUAAGUACCGAUACACUCCAUUUGAAAACUAAACUAAUAGAGUAGAACGAUAGCAGGUUCAUCGACCUAAAUCGCCAUAUCGAUCGAUUAAAAGGAUGCGCGAUGGAUGUGCGGUUCUUCGCGAGUAUAUCGGUAUGGGUGGGGUAUGGGUGUGUCGGUCAUACCUUGGUUUAUUACUAAUCGUUAGCCCGUUACAUCAGUGUCUGCAAUUACCAUUUGAUUUAGCAUAUUGUCUCGGGAGAGAACUAUAGCUCAUAAUCGCGUUGUGAAUAUAUAACAUGCAACGUAUACGGUAUAAAUUUAUGAGUUAAAUCAUAGUUCGCGAUAAAGUCUAUUGCAACUCAAUCAUGAAGUUCUUUUUCUUUUAUUCUGCGCAAGUCGACAAAAAGAAACGAAAAAUAACGAUUCGAUCGAAAUCGUAAAUUGAAAAUUGUUCGCACUAAAAGAAAUAUUCAUAGAUUAAUUUUUAAUCUGUAUUUUGUUACAUGAUAUAGCUUAUUUUUAACGGCUUUCUGAUUUAUAUAGUGAAUAAAUGCUUUAAAAAUAUAUUGAUAUAAGAUAGUUCAAAAAAAUUGUAAAUCUACGAAAUGUAUUCCGGCGAAUCUUACGAUGAUACAAAUAUUUUUUAAAUUUACAAAAUUAUGAAAAGAAGAUACAGAUUUCAUUCUAAAAUAAAACGAAGGCUAUAUCGUGUUAGCUAUAUAUAACAUAUUAUAUGAUAGCAUAGUGAAUCUUAAAAUUAUCUUUAAAAAAAAUAAUUAAAGUAAUUAUAUGUUUAUCUAAAUGAUCUUCAUAUAAAUUUAGACCGAGAUCAAUAUUUCUCGAGCGAAAUAAUUUUCGAUUAAUUCAUCUGAUGUAAUAAGAUCGCAACCCUUCCGGCAUCCACUUUAACGCGCUGGCUAAUGACUUAAUCACAUCCAAACCUAACUUUGAAACUUUCCAUCGAAUUAUUCGGUGGCUAGACCUCGAGGAUUACAAGUAUAACCUAACUUUUACAUAUUUCCACGUCUUUAAAACGUAUUUCAUGUUUCUAAAUCGCUAACUAUCCGAAUACAUGAAAUAUUGAAACGUACACCAAUCUAUUUAAUUUCAAAGCGAUUAAUUUCAAAGACGAAGUAUCAGGGAACGUCAUAGGUUAGCUACUCUUGGGAGAGUCCUUGUCGUCUACACCUAAUUACGUAAUACCGAAGCUACUGGGAAGGAUAUACGAGUUCCGAGGAUGGACGUAACAUUAACUGCGAAGCUUCCAAGAUAAUGCAAUUGCUAACGUCUGACAGGAUUUUCAGUGCUGUCAAUUAUCGAAUAAAGUGACAUCGGGUCUACGUAAGUACCUUCGUGUACUUCCAGAGGGCGUUGAACUCGCUCAAUAUACGAUACCUUUCCUGUGGCAACGUAUUGCAUUAAAACGUUGGCGAUAUACAUAAAUCCUUUCGACUUGAAAAUGAAAUUCAAUAUGACCAGGUAAAGAAUACAAGAUCUUUAACAUCGGGACAUGAUAUCGCAGUCUGUGUUCUCAAACGAUUCGAUUAAAUUGUGCAAUUACCGAUUGUUACCUAUUAUAAUGAGAAGAAAACAAAUGCAUAAUAUCAAUAGCGAAAUAUUUUUUUCUUUCUUACAAGAAUACAUUCCUUCCAGCCGACGGAUUCAGAAUCAAAGACUACCUAUCCUUUCUACCUCUCCCUCUUCUCUUUCACAUCCGUCCCUUCCUGUUUGCUUCUUUUUCCAUCUUUCUCUUCUUCUGUCUCUCUAUUUAUCCGAGCUAGAGAAUACCUUGCGAAUCAAUAAGUGGUAGACCCGAUUUACAAGACCGACUAGUAACCGACCGAGUAUGAAAGGCUUAACAAGCGGAAACGGACGGUGCGUAUCCAUCUCGGUCAUAGAUUCUACGCAAUAUCGGUAGAAACUCGACUAGAAAAGUUAUUCACCCCGAAUCGAUCCGGUCGAUUGUCGAGCUGAUGAAAGCUGCCCUAUAACUAGUUAAUUGGUCUGCUACCGAUACAGCUACUCUCCUUCACUCUGUUCCUCAUACCCAUUGCUCAAUCCCGCUUCUAUUCUCAUUUUCGCUUCUUUUCCAUCAUCAACAGCAGUAGCAGCAAUAACUGAUAAUUAAUCCGCCUGGUUGCGCCGCCUAUCAAUCGAAUUAUGAAGAGGGAAGGGGAAGACAUUCUCGACUCUACCACGAUCUUUUCAUCUUUUUCGAUCCUUUUUCCUCUUUUUCUUUUUCUUUUUAGACUCGAGAUCGAAUCGAAGUAUUAAAAUAAAAAUAAACUAGAUGAAUAGAGGGAACGAAAACGUAAACGAUCCGGGAUAAAUUUGGAUGAUUUUUUAACGUGACAGAUUCGCUUCUCAAUCAAUCAUAAUUAGAACCACGACGAAGCAUCGAAUCGAGUCUGAUCAAAGAUGCCCGAACUCGAAGACAAGAACCUUCUGUCUUAUUCAUCGAGAUUGAAAGAUUGGAGUUCAAAUUAAGAAAAGAUGGAAGGCAAAAAAUUCGAGAGAGAAAAAAAAUUACAUCUGUGUGAAAAUGUAGCGAAUAUGAAGAAUGCAAUAAUCAAUAGCCUUGCAAAGAAUAAAGUCCCUUGAUAUCGUCGCCCUAUAUCCGAUGGUAAUCCAGUGGAGGCUGUCACGCGAAAACACGUUUUGCAUGCAAAAUCGACGGACCAAAUAACCGAGAGAAGUAUUUCAAAUUCCCUGACCAAGAGCCGUCUCUGUCGAGAAUCGAUAUCUGCCUCCAAUCGAGAGAAGCGAUCGUUUUCGAAGGAACUGAUUCGACCUUUCGUUGAAACGUAUAGAUUGUAUAAUAUCACAGCAUGUACAUGUAUAUAUAAAUCGAUCUUAUCAGCAUGAAAAUGGGAUCGUAACAGCACCGUUUCGCCUAGCUCCGUAUUUUCGAAGAUAUAUAUAUAUAUAUAUCAAAGGUGUCAAAGAUAUUUCUUGGUUCGAAUACCGGGAGAUCGAAUUUAGAUUCCAUUUCUCUGAUUUUGUGCACACGUCAAUCAAUUAUUUAAUUUAUCCUUCUAACAAAAUUAUACAUAUAUAUAUAUAUCCAUCGAUUAAUAAGUCAAGAUGUACUCGUGUUGUAUCAUGCUUCCUGUAAUCAACCGCCGUGAAGAAUUAAUUUUCGUGCGAAAAAUUUUACGAUGUUUUAAUAACACAUACAUAAAUAGAUUUUGUGUAAUUACAAACGUUGCAUAAUCAUAGCGCGCAACAUAUGUACUACACGAAAGAGAAAAUUAAAUUUUAUGCACGUUUAUACAUGCGUAUCUUGCGCGCAGUAUUACAGCCAUUUGAUAUUAUUCAUUGUCAUUUUACGAACACGUUUGUCCUACUUUAGCAGUCGUAUAAAGCUACAUAUUCAAUGACCAUUGUCCCUGUCACGAAUAUGAUAAAACAGUAAGAAAAAUAUUCGCAUUGACGAAACUUCAAAUUUCUACGAUAUAUAUAUUAUAUAUACUUUCUAUUCACAAUUUAGAGUAAUGGUAUAUAAUUUUCUCGCAGGUAAGAUAGGUGAAGCGCAACAUUAUGUAAGAGUACUAAUAGAGAAAGUACGAAAGCAAUCUAACAACAAAAUAAAUCUAAAUUAAGAAAGUAAAAAGAAGAAGUUGGCAUUGGUAGUGAUGUCAAAUGAAUGAGUCAAUGUAUGUAUGAAUCAAUAUAAAUGAGUAAAUUCUAAUUUUUAUAAUGUCACAACAGCAUCUAUUUGAUAAACGUUUAUGAUAUUCGAUUUUAUUCCGCCAACUUCUUAUACAUAUAUAUUCAAAAUUCAGAUUGGAGAGGGAAUAUCGUGUAGGCUUGUGUCGCCUUUUUAUUGCGUAGCUGUUUGAUGAUUGCCUACAACGCUAAAAUCGUCACUGACGUAAAGAAGGUGAAUGGAGAGAGGGAAAUAGAUAGCUGAAAAAAAUAAAUAAAUGACGAAGCGAAAUAGAUAUUAUAGAAGUCAUUUAAUACUUUGUUGAAAAUUCUUGCUUACUAAAAAAUUUACUAAAAAGAAGUAAAAAAGAAGUAACCGUGUCUGAAAAUAAAAGAGAAGACAGUGAGGAGUUGCAUGAAAUGCAGGACGCAACGUUCUCAUAUCUUUUAUUCGUUGCAUCGAGGUUGUUAGAGAAAGAGAAAGAGAAAAAGAGAGAGCAACAUCCGCGUUUCACCGUUUCGUUCAUCGAUGGCAUGUUGCUUACGGUUUUCUAGCUCCGUUUCAACUUAUUCGUUACAAGUAAUUAAUUCAUUGAACAUUAACAAGGAAUUAAUAACGAAUAGAAAAUCAUUAGAUUUAAAAAAUCACCAGAGCGAUAAGAUAUGUGCUCGCAAUUUUGAAAUCAUCUUACAUGUUUUGCAAAAUGAAACGAAAUAAACUUUCUCUCGGUUUGUAAGUUUCCCUCGAUUUACCCGUGGUAGCAGCAGAAGUGUAUACUCGAGACUAUUCAAAUGUAAGCAAAACUCGAUUCUAUGUAUGUAUAGGUUAUGUAGUAACUAUCGAAGAUUCCUGUAGACUGCGCGUUCAAACCGUACUUCGAUGCAUGUACAAUUGCAAACAAACAGCAUCUCUACUCACACGAAUUGCUUCAAGAGCCAUAAACGGAAGAGCUUAUUCGUUAAAUGUACGAACGUCUGGGCCAUUCAAUAAAUAUACACUGCGUAUCUUCGUUAAAAAUAUUUCGAUAUCUUUUUUCAUUAUUUUUUCAUCGUUAUUUGACUUCUAUUUUUCUUUCUUUUUUACUCUCAUUUUUUUUUCAUUUCAUUCGUGAUCAUCAACGUGAUCAUUAAUGAAUCUUGAUAAUUUCGAUAAUUCAUAUUUUUUUUAUCGUAUUUAUUAUAUUUUAACGCAAUUGUUUAGAACGUUAAUUUAUAAAAAUUUAAACAAUAUUUUUAUAAUUUUUAAUAAAAUCUUUAUUAAAAGAA